Molecule: non-coding RNA, 194 nt
Organism: Notechis scutatus (mainland tiger snake)
Lineage: Eukaryota; Metazoa; Chordata; Lepidosauria; Squamata; Elapidae
Source: RefSeq, a predicted model, not a curated record
AGAAGCAGCCAAAAAGAAGGAGGAAGAGAGGAGAGCUAAAGACGAAGCGGCCAUGACAGGCAAACGGAUGCAGUCACUGUCCCUCAACAAGUAAAGGCAGCCCCCCCCCCUCCCCCAAGAGGAGGGACACCCCCGGGAUGGUGCUGGGCCUGGCACCCUUCGGACUCGCUGCGGCGUCCUUUCCCAGAGAGGCU